RNAcentral lists this ribosomal RNA (253 nucleotides) under uncultured bacterium. RNAcentral describes it as "partial 16S ribosomal RNA". It matches the Rfam family "Bacterial small subunit ribosomal RNA", at positions 524 to 776 of the family's 1533-position model. The record is from RNAcentral.
UACGUAGGGACCAAGCGUUGUUCGGAUUUACUGGGCGUAAAGGGCGCGUAGGCGGCUUGUCAAGUCACUUGUGAAAUCUCUGGGCUUAACCCAGAACGGCCAAGUGAAACUGACAUGCUAGAGUGCAGAAGGGGCAAUCGGAAUUCUCGGUGUAGCGGUGAAAUGCGUAGAUAUCGAGAGGAACACCAGAGGUGAAGACGGGUUGCUGGGCUGACACUGACGCUGAGGCGCGAAAGCCAGGGGAGCAAACGGG